Molecule: long non-coding RNA, 241 nt
Organism: Bacillus rossius redtenbacheri
Lineage: Eukaryota; Metazoa; Arthropoda; Insecta; Phasmatodea; Bacillidae
Exons: 3
Source: RefSeq, a predicted model, not a curated record
GUAUGAUCGCGUUCGAGUUCUCCAGCUUUACUUCCCGUCUCUACAACUCCAGCAGCUUGGUAUUCAGUGCUUCUCCUUGCGUCGAGCUACUCCCCAGUGUGAUCCGCUUGGAGAACGCCUGUCUGCCCUCUGGAGUCCUGCACCGUUCCUCUUCGAUUCCGGUUACAGUGUGCUGUACGACGUUCCAGCCCUCCUCGUUGUGCGUGCGUGCAGUACACACAGAGUCGUUCCUGUGUUCUUC